Molecule: unclassified non-coding RNA, 627 nt
Filed under: Portunus trituberculatus (swimming crab)
Lineage: Eukaryota; Metazoa; Arthropoda; Malacostraca; Decapoda; Portunidae
Description: putative protein TPRXL, transcript variant X1
Source: RNAcentral
AAAGUGAGAGUGACAGGGAGGAGAUUCAGGCGUCUAUACUUUCCCUUUCGACAAGACCCAAUGUAAAUAAUGGCGAGUGACAAGUAGUUAAAAUUUCGUGUUUUUUGCUAAUAUCUUCGCUUCUCUUCCUCCCGACAUUGUGAGGACGUGCCAGAUGGCGUGGGCGAUAGUUACCAGACCCUAGCGGCGGCGGCGGCGGCGGCGGCGGGUGUUGCUAUAAUGUCAACACCAGUCACGCCCACAGCCUCAAGGAAAAGGGCAUUUAAUCAGACGGCUGGGGUGACUGAAUCCACCAAUGAGGGGACUGGGGGCAGCUGGCUGGGGGCUCUUGGUGGGGUGGUGGGGGAGUGGCUGCAGGGGUGGGGGCUCCUGGGGGUCCUGAGAAGACGGUCGGGGGUGGGGGGUGUCCGCUCCACCCCCAACACCCCCCCCACACACAGCCAACCCACCUCCCCCUCACAUGAACAUAUUGAAUUAAGACAACUCAACUUCCAGAACCCUGCUACGUGAGACUGGAGGGGGGCAGGCCGGGGGAGGGGCAUGACUUUAGGCCUAGGACAUUGGAUAGGCCUGCUUGGUGUGAUGCGUGUGCCCACCUCGUCUUCUACCACGCUACGACCUGCAAUA